This 45-nucleotide small RNA is filed under the name Bacteroidales bacterium Barb4. Its description in RNAcentral is "Acido-Lenti-1 RNA". It matches the Rfam family "Acido-Lenti-1 RNA". The record is from Rfam by way of RNAcentral. Lineage: Bacteria; Pseudomonadati; Bacteroidota; Bacteroidia; Bacteroidales.
CCCGACGUUUCACGUCGGGCUGAAAUCCGGCGUCCUUGCAGGACU